This 424-nucleotide ribosomal RNA is filed under the name uncultured bacterium. RNAcentral describes it as "bacterial SSU rRNA". It matches the Rfam family "Bacterial small subunit ribosomal RNA", at positions 355 to 796 of the family's 1533-position model. The record is from RNAcentral.
UGGGGAAUAUUGGACAAUGGGCGCAAGCCUGAUCCAGCCAUGCCGCGUGAGUGAAGAAGGCCUUAGGGUUGUAAAGCUCUUUUGGCGGGGACGAUAAUGACGGUACCCGCAGAAUAAGCCCCGGCUAACUUCGUGCCAGCAGCCGCGGUAAUACGAAGGGGGCUAGCGUUGUUCGGAAUCACUGGGCGUAAAGCGCACGCAGGCGGAUUGAUAAGUCAGGGGUGAAAUCCCGGGGCUCAACCUCGGAAUUGCCUUUGAUACUGUCUAUCUUGAGUUCGGGAGAGGUUGGCGGAAUUCCUAGUGUAGAGGUGAAAUUCGUAGAUAUUAGGAAGAACACCAGUGGCGAAGGCGGCCAACUGGCCCGAUACUGACGCUCAUGUGCGAAAGCGUGGGGAGCAAACAGGAUUAGAUACCCCCGUAGUCC